This 330-nucleotide ribosomal RNA is filed under the name uncultured Verrucomicrobiota bacterium. Its description in RNAcentral is "bacterial SSU rRNA". It matches the Rfam family "Bacterial small subunit ribosomal RNA", at positions 29 to 351 of the family's 1533-position model. Lineage: Bacteria; Pseudomonadati; Verrucomicrobiota. The record is from RNAcentral.
AACGAACGCUGGCGGCGUGGAUAAGACAUGCAAGUCGUACGGGACCAGGUUUGUAGCAAUACAGGCUUGGUUCAGUGGCGAACGGGUGCGUAACACGUGAGCAAUCUGCCGGGAAGUGGGGGAUAGCUCGCCGAAAGGCGAAUUAAUACCGCAUAUGGCCACUCUUUGAUUGAAGGAAAGCCAAAGCAGCAAUGCGCUUCCUGAUGAGCUCGCGGCCUAUCAGCUAGAUGGCGGGGUAACGGCCCACCAUGGCUAUGACGGGUAGCUGGUCUGAGAGGACGACCAGCCACACUGGAACUGAGAUACGGUCCAGACACCUACGGGAGGCUG